GAGGGUGGCUCUUAUCGUGAUUUGUCAGAGAGUGGUGGGGCUGCAUGGAAUCCGUUGCAAGGAGUGGAGCAGGAGGGUGGCUCUUGUCGUGACUUGUCGGAGAGCUCGGAUCCAUCGGCUAGAGCUCAGCUGGGAUAUCUGAUGGAGCGGAAUGGCUCUCUAUUGUUGGUCUGGGAGAAGCUCGGAUGUCCCCAAAGCUGCUGACGAGUCUACUGUUGUCGGGUAGCUUAGGCGCUGAUACUACAGGUGGAAGUCACCUGCUGUAGAAGCUCGGAUAGAGACUUUACAUUGGCAAAGCCCGGU
Molecule: long non-coding RNA, 303 nt
Filed under: Elaeis guineensis (African oil palm)
Lineage: Eukaryota; Viridiplantae; Streptophyta; Magnoliopsida; Arecales; Arecaceae
Description: long non-coding RNA (EGUI_LNC056348)
Source: RNAcentral